AGGGUUUGAUCCUGGCUCAGGACGAACGCUGGCGGUGCGCCUUAUGCAUGCAAGUCGAGCGAAGCUUUUCAGUAGUUUACUACAGAAAAUGACUGAGCGGCGAACGGGUGAGUAACGCGUGAGCAAUCUACCUUAGUUACAGGGAUAGCCCGAGGAAACUCGGAUUAAUACCUGAUAUUCUUUAUUUCUCGCAUGAGAAUAAAAGGAAAGGUCAGCCGAACUAAGAUGAGCUCGCGUUCUAUCAGCUUGUUGGUGAGGUAAAAGCUUACCAAGGCUACGACGGAUAGCUGGUCUGAGAGGACGAUCAGCCACACUGGGACUGAGACACGGCCCAGACUCCUACGGGAGGCUGCAGCAGGGAAUAUUGUGCAAUGAACGAAAGUUUGACACAGCGACACCGCGUGUGGGAUGACGGAUCUAGGUUUGUAAACCACUUUCAGGAGGGAAGAAAAUGACGGUACCUCCACAAGAAGCCCCGGCCAACUACGUGCCAGCAGCCGCGGUAAUAC
RNAcentral lists this ribosomal RNA (509 nucleotides) under uncultured bacterium. RNAcentral's name for it is "bacterial SSU rRNA". It matches the Rfam family "Bacterial small subunit ribosomal RNA", at positions 8 to 526 of the family's 1533-position model. The record is from RNAcentral.